AUAUUACUAAGCGGAGGAAAAGAAACUAACAAGGAUUCCCUGAGUAAUGGCGAAUGAAAUGGGAAAAGCUCAAACUUUAAAUCUAACUAGAGAAAUCUAGUUCGAGUUGUAGUUUUGGGAGUCUAUGUCUAGGCUUCGUUCUCUUGGGGUAAAAGUCUCUUGGAAAAGAGCAUCAAAGAGGGUGAUAAUCCCGUAUUUGACCUCAAUAGACUAAAUUACAUUUAGGUUUGGUCAUUAGUAAUAGCCGCAAGGUUAUUGUUAGUGAUUUGGAUUUAAGUGGAAUUUAGUAUUGUGAACGGAGUCAACAAUGUCAUAGACUCAUAGAGUCGGGUUGUUUGAGAAUGCAGCCUAAAGUGGGUGGUAAAUUCCAUCUAAAGCUAAAUACAGACGAGAGACCGAUAGCGAACAAGUACCGUGAGGGAAAGAUGAAAAGAACUUUGAAAAGAGAGUUAAAAGUGCUUGAAAUUGUUAAGAGGGAAGCGAUUGAGUUCAGUAUCUCACAGGGAGAGGAAUCAAUUCGGAUCCAUCGAAAUAUAAUUGGGAAGCUAGUUGAGUUUCCUUGUUUAAGGCCCAGCUCUUCACGGGGUUGAAGUCUUGGGCAAGGAGCUUGGCGGUUGGUCUCAAUUUAUGAAAUGAAUUCGAGUGCACUUCCUCUUUCAAAAGUGGGUCAAUAUGAUUUCAUAAAAUGGUAAAAGUUCAAGAGUUAAGGUGACCUUAUUCGA
Molecule: ribosomal RNA, 722 nt
Filed under: uncultured fungus
Lineage: Eukaryota; Fungi
Description: eukaryotic LSU rRNA
Rfam family: Eukaryotic large subunit ribosomal RNA
Source: RNAcentral